AUGCAAGUCGAGCGGUAACAGGUGUAGCAAUACAUGCUGACGAGCGGCGAACGGGUGAGUAAUGCUUCGGAAUCUGCCCAAUGGUGGGGAAUAACCAGCCGAAAGGUUGGCUAAUACCGCAUAAGUCCUACGGGGGAAAGCAGGGGAUCGCAAGACCUUGCGCCGAUGGAUGAGCCGAAGUCGGAUUAGCUAGUUGGUAGGGUAACGGCCUACCAAGGCGACGAUCCGUAGCUGGUCUGAGAGGACGACCAGCCACACUGGGACUGAGACACGGCCCAGACUCCUACGGGAGGCAGCAGUGGGGAAUAUUGGACAAUGGGGGAAACCCUGAUCCAGCGACGCCGCGUGUGUGAAGAAGGCCUGCGGGUUGUAAAGCACUUUUAGUGGGGAUGAAAAGCUCAGGGCUAACACUUCUGGGUCUUGACCUAACCCACAGAAAAAGCACCGGCUAACUCUGUGCCAGCAG
RNAcentral lists this ribosomal RNA (466 nucleotides) under uncultured bacterium. RNAcentral's name for it is "bacterial SSU rRNA". It matches the Rfam family "Bacterial small subunit ribosomal RNA", at positions 55 to 514 of the family's 1533-position model. The record is from RNAcentral.